AUUAAUAACCCAGAGAUCAGCCCAGAUAUUCACCCUCCAAGAGGGUGGCCAGAUUUACGUACAACCUACUCCUCUUCCAAAUAUUUAACUUCCCUCUGCACCAAGAGGAUAAUGAGAUUUUUGAUUUAUGACCCCUCUGAUGAUCGUUAUAUUUUCAAUUCGCCUUCUAUUACAUUAAUUUUCCUUAAGUUUCUAGUUAAAAAUAUCACGUUUGUUUCGAUUACUCCCUGGGAUUUUAUUAUUAUUAUACAAUUUAUAUUUAUUUUCUAUUUAUAUUCGUUCGUAAAUUGCUUUUAGAAAAAAUGUUUUAAAAAAAGAGGAGGAGGAGGAGGAGGAGGAGGAAGAAGAAGAAGAAGAGGAAGAGCAGGAGGAUCGUUUCAAGCUUGAUCAUGCACGUGAUAAACAAUCUCUGUGUUUACAGCGAGAUAUCGAGAUAGCACGUGGAGCUUUAAUGGCACGCCAUAACUAAAUAUAGAGGCUUGGCCUCUAAGGUCAGCAUAGAUACCGAUCCCAUUUAACCAAGGGUGCAUUCAGUAAUAAGAACUGAAUGUAAUAAGAACUUCGUAAUUAAUCAUUGGAGCAAGGAACUGCGACUGACACACAUAAUUUGAGGUCAACGUAACCGGUAUACCACCCAUCCUCAAUUUUCACGAAAUUGAUUAGAUAGGAUUUUCACCUCGUCUACAUCGGAACUUAAUAAUGGACAGUUUGUUGCCCCGAAAAACUUUUAUGUAAAAUCACAGAGAAAUUUUGAAUCGAAGUUUUGACAAUUGCGUUUCUUACACGUCUGAUCACCUAUCGAUUUAUUCUACUUGAACAAGUCAAGGAAAAUUUAUGCAAAAAUUAUUACAUUUUCCCCCCUCAAAAUUUUGGCAAAGACAGCUUCGUAGUUUCAUCUAUUUUUUUUUAUUUGUCUCGAAAAACGAGUCAAGGUCACGAAAAAUUUGACUCCAUCGUACGUUAAACGUGGAAAAAAAGAAUUUGGCAAAUGAAAGCUGUUUGGAUUCGAUCCAGGAUCUCGAAUGUAUUUCAUCGUAAAUGUUUUCUUUCUACUUCCUACAACACAUUGUUUCUAAUAAUUUGUAUCCAAUCUCAAGAAUAUUUCCAACCAUUUACCUGGGAAUUGGAGUAAGACUGGGACUCGCUGCAAUCGAGGACACCGUCUUUGACCACGUAAUGUAUCAAGUCCAUGGCCCUUCGCAUCUGG
Molecule: long non-coding RNA, 1207 nt
Filed under: Apis mellifera (honey bee)
Lineage: Eukaryota; Metazoa; Arthropoda; Insecta; Hymenoptera; Apidae
Description: uncharacterized LOC102656582, transcript variant X1
Source: RNAcentral